Long non-coding RNA from Loxodonta africana (African savanna elephant), 1531 nucleotides. RefSeq lists it as uncharacterized. Lineage: Eukaryota; Metazoa; Chordata; Mammalia; Proboscidea; Elephantidae. The transcript is spliced from 3 exons. The record is from RefSeq and is a predicted model, not a curated record.
UCUCGCCUGGAGCCUUGCUUGAUCCUCAGAGUGUGUUCCUUAGACACCAGCACCGACAUCAUCAGGAAGCUUGUUAGAAAUGCAGACUCUUGGGUCUGCUCCAGACCUCCCUGAAUCAGAAUCUGCAAUGAUUUGUCAGCACUUUAAAGUUUGAAAAGCUCUGGCCUAGAGGAUCCUCCAGCAAACAGAACAAUCAUUCCUUCCCAGACUGGAGUGCUGCGUGCAACAGGACCUCAGAACUGCCCACAAGAUUCUACCAUUGCCAACAGGUGAACUGAGAGCUCCAUACUUGUCACUGUCACCAUAAAGGGUAAGAAGAUGACUAGAUCCCUGUUACCUCUUCUUGGCCAGAAGCAGAAAGACGUACCUGGAGUUUAUUUCUGGAACUCUGCUCUGAACAGUUUGAUUGCUUUUAUGAGAAGUACACUCGUCUGGAGUGGAACAUGGCCAAGAGCUCUCAACUAGCAAUAAACUUCUCUUUUCACAAAGUGACCGCUGUUCAAGAUUGUUUCUCUGCUAACGACGUGUGAUCAUUAAGCUGGGUUUUCUGUUGGCAGUUGUAAAUGCCCAUUAGCAUGCGUACAUAGCACUGCAUUUUUGUAAAAUACUAUGAUUUGGGAGCAUGAUACCAGGUGGUGGAGAAGCAAGAGUUUAUGUUCUCCUUUGCUACAUUCUCACCAGCUCUAUGGGUGAGCCUGCAAAGCUCUAGCAGGGCUCUUAGCCUUAUGGUUAAUAUGCUCAGCUGCUAAUGGAGGGGUUGGAGGUACAAGACAACUCAGCAGUGCCUCAGAAGAAAGUCCUGGCGAUCCACUUCUGAAAAAUCAGCCAUUGAAAACCUGAUGGAGCACAGGUCUACUGUGACACACAUGAGGUCACCAUGAGUCAGAAUUGACUCUACAACAACUGACAUUGGUAACCUCAGAUUACCCAUCUUUUCCUAAAGGAAAAAAAGAGAAAGAGAAAUGGAAAAAGUACUAAAACAGGGAUCAUGGUGCUGUACAGGAGUGUUGUGUGGAGAAAUGAGAUCACAAAAAGCAAAGAAGAAACCUCAAUGGGCUACGUGGCCUUUAGUAUCCAGAACUAUUGCAUUCGUUGAAACCGAAUUUCCAGAAUCUUAGAUGCUUUUGAGCAUCAAUAUAUGUCUGAUCUCAUUUUUUAAAUUUAGAGUAAAACAAUUUUAAAGCUGUAAUAAAGUUUGGCACUUUCUAAAAGAGGUUAUGUACCAAUUUUCACAUCCUGGGAAGCAACAGUGCGUUAGCUUAUGCUGUUAGGCUAACUAGUUUGGGGGCAGAGCUAAAUUAAAAAAGGCUUUUCCUGCCAUCACUCAAUUCUGAAAACUGUAACUCUAUUUCAAGUCUUUAAAAAUCUAGCCUCCACAUAGCUGCACCGCUAUGUUUGUACUAGCAAGUACCCUGCAGAACACACACACAUUGAACUCAUUAAAACGGCAGACCAGACUCAGGGGAAUCCUGCAACCCUGGCCCACCGUCUGCUCAUAUUGAUUGCCAGCUAUGUGCUGAAACUCACACAA